RNAcentral lists this transfer RNA (67 nucleotides) under Ministrombus variabilis. Its description in RNAcentral is "tRNA-Gly". Lineage: Eukaryota; Metazoa; Mollusca; Gastropoda; Littorinimorpha; Strombidae. The record is from RNAcentral.
GCCCUUUGAGUAUGAUAGAGUACAGUUGCCUUCCAAGCAGAAAGAUUAAAAAAUUUUAAAAAGGGUA